AAAACCGUAUUUAAAAGCAGGAUUGACGACCAAAGAAAAAUGAGAAAGUAACAUUUUAAUGUGGAGCUUAGUAAUCGCCUAGAAUGAAUGGCGAUAUACAGUUUACUGCACCCUCCAAUGCGCAAAAGAGGCAGGAUGGCAAAAUUCAUGACUAUCUUAAGCAAGCCAGGAGACUGCUAAAAAGGUAGGUAUUAGCUCAAUUCCAAGGGGGUGGGGCCCAGUUCACUUGGUGGCGGGCUCUAGAUGGCCAAAGAGGAAGGGAAAGAUAUCCGUUGGUGGCCAGCACCUCGCUAAAAAGGGUGGGUAGAGGCUAACUUCAAGGCAACGGCUGGGGCGAGAGUGUCCCAGGCCCGAAAACCUACUGUGGGGCUCCGCUGAGGCACCCGGUCUCCCGGUUUCCACACGCGUUCAGAGACACAAACUCACCCGCCGCUGAGGAAACGGUACUGCCUUCGCGACCUUCUGGGAUCCAGGUUACGAGUGCGCUCCACUGGUUCGAGAUUUCUGCCCGUCGCUCGCCAGGGAGACUGAGUGCCCAAGCGCCUACUCGCACAGGCCGCAAAUACAGCCGCGCUGCGCGGCGAGCUGAUGGAGGUCUUCCUCUUGCCCGGCGUGCACUGCGGCCGGGGGCGGGGAGCGCGGAACCAUAGAGAAGAACGUAUAUAGAUCGUCUCCGCUGUUGGCUCUGACUCACCAAGCCGAGACGAAUAACCAUAGAGAAGCAGCGUCUAGCGGUUACUAGAAAGGCCCGAACUGUAAAUUAUGACCCACCAUGUUUGAUUGGAGCCGACUGAAUCUUACGACUACGGGACGCCAUCUUGAGGUCAAGGUUCCGGCUGGGCACGGCGCGAGGAGUGUUAGAGGCUUUCUCACUUUUCGUAGUUUUUCGGGGGGUGGAACCUUGCUUUGUGAUUCCUUGAGGUUCGAGGAACUGAUAACUGGGCGCGAUCUGCAACCUUAGUGUUAAACCCCAAGUGCUGUUAUAACAACUACUCGAGAUCAACAAAUAAUUGGCAAAGGCUGUGGAGGUUUUUUGAAAAGCAAAAGCUUAUGCGUAGUUGUAGGGCCAAAGAGGUGGCUAGAAGAUGUUUGGAAAAACGUGAAAAGUCCUGUAAUACUAGUUAACACAGCUUUCGUUCUGUAAUCUAAACGUGCUAAAAGAACUUAGCUUAAGUUAAUGGAAAUGAAUAAAAUUAAUCAUAAAUGAUUACGUUAUUCCAAUUGUGGACCUUAUAGGCAAUAUCUAGUUACACGCCUUUCUCAACUGCUUGCCUCUAGGAAGGCAUAAAACGGAUUCAGUAUAAAGUUAUUGCCUCCCUGAGUUCCUGGUGCUGUGUUAAGUGCUGGAAGUAUGAAGGCAAAUGGAAGUGAGAUUUGUUCCUGUCCUGCAAGAACUGUGAGCCAGUGUGGGCCUCAUUCUAAGUCUGACUUCCCUAAUGCUCAGAAGAUGGCUAUGUUGAGUCCACAAACUUUUGAAUUCAGAAACAAGAUUGAGUUGAUUUCAGAAGCUCUCCCAGAAGAUCAAGAAAGAACUUUCCAGGAUCUCCAGGAACCUGAAUUGAGUCAUACGCCAAAGUGAGUUUCAUGCUCUUUGGCAAAACAAUCAUUGGCAGGAUAGAUGAAAGUAGCUUAGAAGUGACCAAUAUGUCAAGGUCCCAUGAGAAGACUGAAAAAAAGAGAAGAAAGAGGAAAGAAAAGAAUGACAAGAAAGAGAAAGAAAGAAACCAAUAUGCUCUUUGUUCUUUGCUUUUGCUUCCUCAAGCUUUUCUCUGUCUACAAAGCCAACCUCUCCUGCUCAGCUCAUCAGAACAUUCACUCCACUUUCUGGAAUGAAGUGUUGCCUGAUCCUAGAGUCGCAAUAAAGCCA
This 1867-nucleotide long non-coding RNA is filed under the name Homo sapiens (human). Its description in RNAcentral is "HSALNT0377907". The record is from RNAcentral. Lineage: Eukaryota; Metazoa; Chordata; Mammalia; Primates; Hominidae.